CAACGCAGCAAGAGAGGCAAUCCGUGUGCAGGAGAUCUUCACCUCCUACUUCUUCAAAGAGGGUGCUGUUCCCUGACAACACCAUAGACGUCACUAUGCACAACCAAAAGCUCUUUUAAGAGCCAUUCACAUUGCAAUAAGAGUAUUCUUCCAUUUACUGAGCUAUGUCAACUGCAGUUAUUCAAGUCCCAAUUUCUCUCCCUUUGAUUUCUACUUCUCAGGUGAGGGUGCUGUUUAGGUAAGGGUGUGAUGUCUGUACAAGAACAAAAACAGGCUAUUUUAAAUCACCCAUAUUGAAAAAAUGUAGAACAAUUAGACACCCUAUAACCCACACCUACACACACAUGUAUCAAUCUGAUUGAUGGAUUGUGUUGUGCAGUAAACAGGCUCAGGUGUAUAACUGUGGCUCCUUCCACCUUCAAAGAAUAGGCAAGAGGGCCAACCAUGGAGAAUAGUAAGACACUUCAUUAUUUCUAUAACUACGCUGUAUUGUUUGUCCUCAUGUGUCCAUUCAUGUUUUUCAGCAUAAAGUACUCUGCAGCCACUUAGUGUGGUGUGGACACCAGGUUAUAUCAGCUGUGUCGGUGAACCCCUCCUGCAUCUGAACUGGCUACAUAGAGGGCACAGCAUGAUCAGAGAUAUGUUUUGAUGUGAGAGGAUGCCAACCCCCAGUCCCAUCAUCGCCACCUCACCUGCUUUUAAGAACCUUUGGGCCGACGAGAGACACUAUUAUGUAAUUGUGCUGAACUGAGAGAAUAUUUAUGUAGCACUGUGAUUCAUUAAUCAUGUGCUGCCUUCCCUACUCCUAUGUGCUUACCUCUUUCCCUUUCUGUCUUUUACACCUCUCUCACCACCUCCUCUUUCUUCCUCUGUUUUUAUAAUGCACAACAGAUGUGCAUUGAAGUACAGAUUAAACUUGUAUUUAUAACACUUGGAUAAUGAGCUUUUCAAUAAAGCGUUUCACAUUCUCUACUGGUUGAAAUGAAGUGUAAUGUGAUGAAAUACUCCACCUAUCCUGUGUUUAUCAGAUCAAUGCAGAUGAAGGGC
RNAcentral lists this long non-coding RNA (1047 nucleotides) under Salmo salar (Atlantic salmon). Its description in RNAcentral is "lncRNA (ENSSSAG00000120069.1)". The stretch from base 104 to 149 matches the Rfam family "Histone 3' UTR stem-loop". Lineage: Eukaryota; Metazoa; Chordata; Actinopteri; Salmoniformes; Salmonidae. The record is from RNAcentral.